UAAGGAAUAUUGGACAAUGGAGGCAACUCUGAUCCAGCCAUGCCGCGUGAAGGAAUAAGGCCCUAUGGGUUGUAAACUUCUUUUAGACGGGACAAAACCCCUUUACGUGUAAAGGGUUGAUGGUACUGUCAGAAUAAGCAUCGGCUAACUUCGUGCCAGCAGCCGCGGUAAUACGAAGGAUGCAAGCGUUAUCCGGACUUAUUGGGUUUAAAGGGUGCGUAGGCGGACUAAUAAGUCAGUGGUGAAAGCCUGCAGCUUAACUGCAGAAUUGCCAUUGAUACUGUUAGUCUUGAGUACAGUUGAGGUAGGCGGAAUGUGUCAUGUAGCGGUGAAAUGCUUAGAUAUGACACAGAACACCCAUUUCGAAGGCAGCUUGCUAAGCUGUAACUGACGCUGAGGCACGAAAGCGUGGGGAGCAAACA
RNAcentral lists this ribosomal RNA (422 nucleotides) under uncultured bacterium. RNAcentral's name for it is "bacterial SSU rRNA". It matches the Rfam family "Bacterial small subunit ribosomal RNA", at positions 355 to 774 of the family's 1533-position model. The record is from RNAcentral.